GGGGCUGCCCUGGUUUUGACAGCAAGGUGAACUGGUAAGUAAGCAUGCCGAGUACUGAAGCAACGCUCGUAAAACCUUGUUUCACACUUUUAAUUGGCGAAGAUAACUACGCUAUCGCUGCGUAACCGAAUCAAGUAGGUUAAGCUUUAUCCCGGUACCAGGUAUUGGGACGAUACAUCACGC
Molecule: transfer-messenger RNA, 183 nt
Filed under: Bacteroidota bacterium
Lineage: Bacteria; Pseudomonadati; Bacteroidota
Description: Bacteroidetes bacterium (marine metagenome) partial transfer-messenger RNA
Rfam family: transfer-messenger RNA
About the family: Bacterial tmRNA, also known as 10Sa RNA or SsrA, is named for its dual tRNA and mRNA-like properties. Its role is to liberate the mRNA from a stalled ribosome.
Source: RNAcentral